This is a small nuclear RNA of 118 nucleotides. Its record names the gene U2. It matches the Rfam family "U2 spliceosomal RNA". Rfam says of the family: U2 is a small nuclear RNA (snRNA) component of the spliceosome (involved in pre-mRNA splicing). Complementary binding between U2 snRNA (in an area lying towards the 5' end but 3' to hairpin I) and the branchpoint sequence (BPS) of the intron results the bulging out of an unpaired adenosine, on the BPS, which initiates a nucleophilic attack at the intronic 5' splice site, thus starting the first of two transesterification reactions that mediate splicing. The record is from Ensembl.
AUCGCUUCUCGGCCUUUUGGCUAAGAUCAAGUGUAGAAAUGUUUACAAGAUCCUGUUUAGUCAAAAAAGAUUAAUGAAAAUAAAUUAUGCAUUUGAAGCAUUCACAUACUGAACUUUU